Molecule: non-coding RNA, 64 nt
Organism: Macaca mulatta (Rhesus monkey)
Lineage: Eukaryota; Metazoa; Chordata; Mammalia; Primates; Cercopithecidae
Source: Rfam
AGAAUUAUAGGACUUCAGUCCAUGAUUUGGAAAAAUUACUGGAAUUGGAGUCAAAAAUAAUUUG